This 933-nucleotide ribosomal RNA is filed under the name Triticum aestivum (bread wheat). RNAcentral describes it as "partial small subunit ribosomal RNA". The record is from RNAcentral. Lineage: Eukaryota; Viridiplantae; Streptophyta; Magnoliopsida; Poales; Poaceae.
AUGAAGGCAACAUUAAAAACUAUCCUCCCACAUACUCUGCAUAAGUUGUGUCGGUGGCAUAUCAUGAAGAAGUACAAAGACCACCUCGCCUUGCUGUAUAAGGCACACGAGAAACUCAAGGAUGACCUCAAUGCGGUGCUGAACCACCCACUAAUGCCGUCAGAAUUUGAACGAGCAUGGAAUGACCUCAUUCAGAGAUACAACUUGCAAGACGACGAAGUGAUGAAUUCGCUGUGGGAUGACAGGCACGAGUGGAUCUCGGCUUACUACAAGGAAUUUUUCUGUGCUCGGAUGACUUCCACACAGAGAAGAGAGAGCAUGAACCGCAUACUGAAGAAAAACUUUGUCAAAGAGAAGAAUGAUCUCCAUCUGUUUGCUCAGCAGGUGGACAAGUGCAUUCAGACCAAGAAGGCCGUAGAGCACGCAGAGACAGUAGCAAAUGAGUCAGAGGUAAAGACAACAACCCAGUUUGGGUGCGAAGUUCAGCUAUCAAAAGUGUAUAUAAGGGCAGUGUUUCCAGAUUUCAAAGAAACACUCUACCGUAGCACUGCAUUCAGAGCAGAACGGUGCCCUGAGAACCCGACAAAGUAUCUCGUACACCACUACAACAGAUCGGAUGCAUUUGACUGGGCAAGGCAUAAUUUCCAAGUGGUCGCCGAUGAAACGAAAGGUGUCUACGAAUGUGAGUGCAAACUCUGGACACACACAGGGCUCUUUUGCGUCCAUGUGUUAUGCAUGCUUUCUCAUUUGAGAGUACUCAAGAUUCCUGAGGUGUACAUCAUGAAAAGAUACACCCGUAACGCAAGAUCAAAUGCGACGUUUGACAAAAGAGACUAUGAACAAACAGCACCAUAUGGAACCUCGCUUUUUUGCCGUAGAAAAUUGCUGACAGAAACAGCAAUGGACCUUGCAAACAGAGCGACAAGGUCCGAC